Molecule: non-coding RNA, 148 nt
Filed under: Pan troglodytes (chimpanzee)
Lineage: Eukaryota; Metazoa; Chordata; Mammalia; Primates; Hominidae
Source: Rfam by way of RNAcentral
GCUGGGCAUGGUGGUGCAUGCCUGUAAUCCCAGCUACCUGGGAGGCUGAGUCAGGAGAAUCGCUUGAACCCAGGAGGUAGAGGUUGCAGUGAGCCGAGAUCGUGCCACUGCACUCUAGACUGGGUGACAGAGUGAGACUCCGUCUCAA